GCCGGGCACAGUGGCAUGUGCCUGUAGUCCCAGCUACUUGGGAGGCUGAGAUGGGAGGAUCACUUGAGCCGAGGAGUUCUGGGCUGUAGUGCGCUAUGCUGAUCGGGUGUCCGCACUAAGUUCAGCAUCAAUAUGGUGACCUCCCAGGAACGGGGGACCACCAGGUUGCCUAGGAGAGGUGAACUGGCCCAGGUGGGAAACGGAGCAGGUCAAAACUCCCGUGCUGAUCAAUAGUGGGAUCGUGCCUGUGAAUAGCCACUGCACUCCAGCCUGGGCAACAUAGUGAGACACCAUCUCUA
Molecule: unclassified non-coding RNA, 299 nt
Organism: Callithrix jacchus (white-tufted-ear marmoset)
Lineage: Eukaryota; Metazoa; Chordata; Mammalia; Primates; Cebidae
Rfam family: Metazoan signal recognition particle RNA
About the family: The signal recognition particle (SRP) is a universally conserved ribonucleoprotein. It is involved in the co-translational targeting of proteins to membranes. The eukaryotic SRP consists of a 300-nucleotide 7S RNA and six proteins: SRPs 72, 68, 54, 19, 14, and 9.
Source: Ensembl